RNAcentral lists this unclassified non-coding RNA (314 nucleotides) under uncultured fungus. RNAcentral describes it as "partial contains small subunit ribosomal RNA, internal transcribed spacer 1, and 5.8S ribosomal RNA". The stretch from base 1 to 73 matches the Rfam family "Eukaryotic small subunit ribosomal RNA", at positions 1759 to 1831 of the family's 1831-position model. The record is from RNAcentral. Lineage: Eukaryota; Fungi.
GCAAACUUGGUCAUUUAGAGGAAGUAAAAGUCGUAACAAGGUUUCCGUAGGUGAACCUGCGGAAGGAUCAUUACAAAGGUUUCAAAAUUGUCCGUGGUACCCUUCACUUUGGUGGGCGGUGGAUCCACGGCAAUUUCAACCACGAUCAUCCACCGUGUGCACUCAUUGAACUAUAUAAUUUAUUAUUAUUAUAGUUCUAAAAAAUCUUUCCAAUGUCUUUUUCACUGUCUGUCUGAUCUUAUAAAAAAAAACGAAUUUAUAAUACAACUUUCAACAACGGAUCUCUUGGCUCUCGCAUCGAUGAAGAACGCAGC